Molecule: long non-coding RNA, 614 nt
Filed under: Dasypus novemcinctus (nine-banded armadillo)
Lineage: Eukaryota; Metazoa; Chordata; Mammalia; Cingulata; Dasypodidae
Description: lncRNA (ENSDNOG00000052111.1)
Source: RNAcentral
GAGGUGCACACACUGCAUCGCUUUUAAAAACUACCCGGCUCUGAGUCUCAUUGCUGCCAGGCUGAUCACCCCACUGGCCCUUUCUUUCCAAAAAUUAUAAUUGUGGAGAAACCACAAAGAAAAUUCCAGAGGCUAUCAAAUAGUGGUCGAAGAUGUUUGUUUUUUGAAUAAUCUUACGAGUACACGCGAAACGAGUUACCUCGAAGCAAUCAGCACUCCUGGGAGUCAAACACUCCUCACCUACUUUGAAAUUGAUUGGUGUGGGUUUAUCUCCCGGAUUUUAAUAACACCCUCCACCUACGCUAGUCAUUUACACAAGUGGGGACGCAGCAGGCGCACUCCCUCCUCCGGACCUAGCAGGACCGUCCUUCGCUGGCCAGGUCCGGGCGGUCGCCUCCGGAAUGCGAGGGGCGGGCUCUGCCGCCACCUCCCAACGCCACCUGCCCAGAAGAAGAAAAAAAGAACCCCCCUCAAGCUACAGUCACGAGAAAGGAUUGGAGCGGAGAAAGAACAGACAUGAGAAGACCAGCCUUUGCUGCAGACCAGGUAAGAGAGAAGAUAAAGUCUUGAGCUAAGGUGGUAACAGUAUUUGAGGGAAGUGGAAAGAUACUAGC